CUACGGGCUGCAGCAGUGGGGAAUAUUGGACAAUGGGGGAAACCCUGAUCCAGCAAUGCCGCGUGUGUGAAGAAGGCCUGCGGGUUGUAAAGCACUUUCGGUUGGGAGGACUGCUUCUAGCACUAAUAUUGUUGGAAGUUGACGUUACCUUCAGAAGAAGCACCGGCUAACUCCGUGCCAGCAGCCGCGGCAAUACGGAGGGUGCAAGCGUUAAUCGGAAUUACUGGGCGUAAAGCGCGCGUAGGCGGCUAGAUCAGUCGGGUGUGAAAGCCCCGGGCUUAACCUGGGAACUGCAUCCGAUACUGUCUAGCUUGAGUACAGGAGAGGAGAGUGGAAUUCCGCAUGUAGCGGUGAAAUGCGUAGAUAUGUGGAGGAACACCAAUGGCGAAGGCAGCUCUCUGGCCUGAUACUGACGCUGAGGUGCGAAAGCGUGGGGAGCAAACAGGAUUAGAUACCCCAGUAGUC
Molecule: ribosomal RNA, 465 nt
Filed under: uncultured bacterium
Lineage: Bacteria
Description: partial 16S ribosomal RNA
Rfam family: Bacterial small subunit ribosomal RNA
Source: RNAcentral